This 77-nucleotide transfer RNA is filed under the name Acidobacteriota bacterium. Its description in RNAcentral is "tRNA-Val". It matches the Rfam family "tRNA". Rfam says of the family: Transfer RNA (tRNA) molecules are approximately 80 nucleotides in length. Their secondary structure includes four short double-helical elements and three loops (D, anti-codon, and T loops). Further hydrogen bonds mediate the characteristic L-shaped molecular structure. tRNAs have two regions of fundamental functional importance: the anti-codon, which is responsible for specific mRNA codon recognition, and the 3' end, to which the tRNAs corresponding amino acid is attached (by aminoacyl-tRNA synthetases). tRNAs cope with the degeneracy of the genetic code in two manners: having more than one tRNA (with a specific anti-codon) for a particular amino acid; and 'wobble' base-pairing, i.e. permitting non-standard base-pairing at the 3rd anti-codon position. The record is from RNAcentral. Lineage: Bacteria; Pseudomonadati; Acidobacteriota.
GGGCGCGUAGCUCAGUUGGUUAGAGCGCUCGCUUCACACGCGAGAGGUCCGGGGUUCAAAUCCCUGCGCGCCCACCA